This 511-nucleotide ribosomal RNA is filed under the name Streptacidiphilus sp. RNAcentral's name for it is "bacterial SSU rRNA". It matches the Rfam family "Bacterial small subunit ribosomal RNA", at positions 914 to 1425 of the family's 1533-position model. The record is from RNAcentral. Lineage: Bacteria; Bacillati; Actinomycetota; Actinomycetes; Kitasatosporales; Streptomycetaceae.
CGGGGCCCGCCACAAGCAGCAGAGCAUGUGGCUUAAUUCGACGCAACGCGAAGACCCUUACCAAGGCUUGACAUACGCCGGAAAGCCGUAGAGAUACGGUCCCCCUUGUGGUCGGUGUACAGGUGGUGCAUGGUUGUCGUCAGCUCGUGUCGUGAGAUGUUGGGUUAAGUCCCGCAACGAGCGCAACCCUCGUUCUGUGUUGCCAGCGGGUCAUGCCGGGGACUCACAGGAGACUGCCGGGGUCAACUCGGAGGAAGGUGGGGAUGACGUCAAAUCAUCAUGCCCCUUAUGUCUUGGGCUGCACACGUGCUACAAUGGCCGGUACAAUGAGCUGCGAUGCCGUGAGGUGGAGCGAAUCUCAAAAAGCCGGUCUCAGUUCGGAUUGGGGUCUGCAACUCGACCCCAUGAAGUCGGAGUUGCUAGUAAUCGCAGAUCAGCAUUGCUGCGGUGAAUACGUUCCCGGGCCUUGUACACACCGCCCGUCACGUCACGAAAGUCGGUAACACCCGAA